This 6544-nucleotide long non-coding RNA is filed under the name Marmota monax (woodchuck). Lineage: Eukaryota; Metazoa; Chordata; Mammalia; Rodentia; Sciuridae. The record is from RNAcentral.
AAGCAAUGAAUUUUCCUCUUAGAACUGCUUUCAAAGUGUCCCAUAGAUUCCGAUAUGUUGUGUCUGUGUUUUCAUUUAUCUCUAAGAAUUUUUUAAUUUCCUCCUUGAUGUCUUCUAUAACCCAUUGAUUAUUCAGUAACCUAUUUUUCAUUCUCCAAGUGAUGCAUGAUUUUUCCUUCCUUCUUUUAUCAUUGAUUUUCAGUUUCAUUCCAUUAUGAUCAGAUAAGAUGCAUGGUAUUAUCUCUACUCCUUUAUAUUGUCUAAGAGUUGCCCUGUGACAUAAUAUAUGAUCUAUUUUUGAGAAGGAUCCAUGUGCUGCUGAGAAAAAAGUGUAACUGCUUGAUGUUGGGUGGUAUAUUCUAUAUAUGUCAAUUAAGUCUAGGUUAUUAAUUGUGUUAUUGAGUUCUAUAGUUUCCUUAUUCAACUUUUGUUUGGAAGAUCUGUCCAGUGGUGAGAGAGGUGUGUUGAAGUCUCCCAUGAUUAUUGUAUGGUGGUCUAUUAGACUCUUGAACUUGAGAAGAGUUUUUUUGAUGAACAUAGCUGCACCAUUGUUUGUCUCUAAAUUCCCGCCAUGCACUAAGGCACCAGAACUAUUACCGACCCCCCUCCAAGGAAACAGCAACAUGAUAGGAAAAUAAUAUUGUCAAAAUUGUAUAAUUCUGUUGUUAACCAUUGUUUUGUCCUCAACUGUUAACUGAUAAAUGUUACUUCCACAAAAUAUGUGAAUUUUCUGCUUCUGAGAGGCAAUGUGAAAGAGGAAGUAUUACUUUUAUGUACAAAGUUAUUUAUUUAUAGAAAUUUUGGUACUAUGUACAUUGAAAACAUGUAAAAUAUUGAAGUGUCUAACAAAAGGCAUUGAAGUGUCUUUAAUAAAGAUUCAUUUAUAAGUGUUGAGCGUAUGGCAGGAAUGAAAGUUGGGAUAUAUGGUGUCCUUAGGGAGACAACAAAUGGCCUCUUUUGGCUAGAAAAAAUAUGUGCAAAGCAGGUUUGCAGGUUAGAACCAUGCAGCUUAUUCAGCAAAUAUUUAUUAAGCAUUUGCUAGACACUUAAGCAUAGGAUACCAUGGUAAGCAUGAUAGGAAAGUUCUCUUACAGAACCUGUUAGUCUAUUAGAGCAGGGAUAUUAGUUAAGAGCUGUGAUAAGGACCACAUGGUAAAAUCUAGAUCAAGUUUCAAGAUAAAUUGUCUUUGAGGAAAUUCUGUUUAAGCUGAAACCUGAUGGUUGAAUACACAUCAGCUAAGCACUGCUUGGAAAACUGUCUGCCUUCUCUAAUCCUCUAAUGUCCAAAUCCUCUUAACCAAAUUAUGCACUAUGUGUUCAGUAGUCAAUACAAAUGAGUUACUGGUACUCUAAGCAAUUGAAAUUGGCAUGAAAAAGAAGUAUAUUUUCCAUUCCUGGUCUAGAAGAUACCAUGCCAAAUAUAGCAUGACAUUUCUUCAUUUUUAAAUGCAAAAAAAUAAUGAUUUUAAACAUCUUACAAACAGCAAUUUGUGAAAGUCAACAACAAAUUCUUCACUCAAGCUUAACCAAAUUUUGAUAGAGUAAGUUCAGUUUUUAACAUAAUAUAUGUCACUUGGAUGGUAAAAUAGCAUCCAAUUAUAUGUUCAGUAUCUGAUGAGAGUCCAGAGGAAGGAUGCUAUAUAUUUUAAGUUGUGGGUUUCUUUAGCAAGAUUUGCCAACUGGAGUAUAUAAUGAAAUAUAUAAUGAGAUAAGCCUAAUGGAUUUAUAGAAAAAGUAGAAUUGAUGAAGAGGUCUAGGCUCAAUAGAAAAAAGAUGAAAGGUCAGAGAAUUGCUGAUAGAGUGUGCAAAAAGGGAGAUGCUCAAAAACUGAAGAGAACAGAAUGAGUGACAAACAUCACCAAAGAAAGUGGGUAAGGAAUGAGGUACUGAAAUAUAAAGCAUCAGAAAAGGGAUAGUUUUGGGGAUGGCAAGUUUUAGGGUGUGGCCAUGGGAGUAGAUGAAUGAAAGAAAUGGAGAAAAGCAAGUAACUGUGAGGCUAUGAUGUUGAUUGUAUCUUGACAUGGGUGGAAGAUGGUGAGGUUUAGUGGUGCUGUCAAAGCUUUAAGUCAUGUGUGAAUAUUUUCAAAAAUCUGAAAAGUACCCCAGUUGGGGAUCAAAUGGGAAGUAAAUCUCAGUAACAGGGUAUAUGCAAGAAUCUGACUUAAUAAUCGGCCUACAAUCCCCUAUAGAAGGAGGAACAAGGAAUUGCUUAGAAGUGAUGGAAUGCAGACAGGAUGCAGCUCUGGCUUCAUGAAAAAGAGGUGGCCAUACUUCAGGCAAGGACUUGUGAGCCUGGGGUGGACAGAUUGAGUAUGAGGUGGAGUUCGGUGGAAUAAAAUGGGAAGAAAUAGCUAGGGGCUCAAAAGAACAAAGAUUUGGAAACCCAAGGCCUUGUUUGAGAAUAAUAGAAAUGGAAAAGGAACUGCACAGGCUCAGGCUAAUGAAAAAGGUGAUGAAAGCCAGGGAUAAAGGUCUUGAUGGUAGUUGAUUUUGAAACUCUUUCUAGAGCUUGAAUGUUAAAAUGUUUCCCUAUUGAUGCAGACAGGAGUACUCAGCUCUAUAAGCCAGACAAUAAUCUCUGCCCUGUGGCUGACUUUCUGCCUUAAAAUAUGAGGCCUCUUAGGAGGGAAGUAGGCAUAGCCAGGUAAGAGUCAUGGUGACACAUUUAGAGUUCUUCUGUUUUCAUACAAACAGAUUUGCACACAAAGGAGUGCCAUCUUAUAUAGGGACUGCCAGGUGGAAUCAUCUUGGGCAUUAACUGGAUCAGUUGACAUUAAUAGGUGUUAGUCAGCUUUCCAAAGCUUUGACCAAAUAACUGAGAUAAUAUUCAUUAAUAAGGAAAGGUUCAUUUGGUUCACAGUUUCAGAUGGUUGCAUGGCCCCAUGGCCUUUGGGCCUGAGGUGAGGCAGUCCAUCAUGGUGGGAAUAUGCAGCACUCCUGCACGUUUGCCAGAGAACCAAGAGAGACAAGAAAGGUCUGGGAUCUCAAUAUCCCCUCCAAGGGCAUUGCUCCAAUGACCUAACUUCCCUCCAAUAGGCCCCACCUCCUAAAGGGUCCACCAUCUCCCUGAAACACUAAAGGCUAAUAACCAAUUCUUUAAGACAUAGGAUUUUGGUGGACAUUUAUCCAAGUGAUAGCCAUGGGUUUAGUUGUGUUAGGAUUCAGGGUUGAUCCCAUUCUUAACAUGGAUCUGAGGUGAAUUCUAAAUUGACCAGAAGUGGUAAAUGGAGAGUUGGAAGAAUGUAGAAAGAAAAGAUAAAUUGUCUUGCAGUUUGUCCUGUACACAGACAACUCAAAUUCUAUAUAACCAUGAGAAGCCACAAUACUGAAAUCAGAUCCCUAUCACUUUUGGCAAGAAUUUAUGAAAUUUUUCAAAAUCUAGCUCCCUUGAACUGCAUGACCAGAAAAAAUUGAGGCAACAUGUCAAAGAGUGGCACAGAUCAAUAUAAUUGUGGCUAUGAACACAUUGACAAUCUAAGUCAUUUAGGUGCAAGUCCUUAAAAUAUAAUUGCAAAACAGUGUAUGAAUUUUAGAGACAAUCUAUUUUACAUACUGAAGAAGAACAAGUUUAUUCUCUCCCUAGAGAGAGAAGUUUGAAGCAGACACAAUUUACCUCUUUCACCUAUGUGCUUUGGACAAAAAUCUGCAGAGACUGAUGAUGAAUGCUGAGGAUGGGAGCCUUGUUCUAACCAGAUGAGGACACAUGCAUCUUAAAUGUUUCCCACAGGUACAGUGGCAGGCCCUAAAGACAGGUAUCCUGGAUAUAUCCUCAGUGUCCAGAGUAUCUUUCAGAGCAUGGAAUCUUUCAGAGUACAACAAACCAAACAAACACCAUCACCAUGUUCAAGAAAAGAAAAGAAGGGUAACUUGCAAAAUGCUUAGAUCACAAGUGACCUUUUAAACCCAUUAAAAGAUGAAUGUGCUAUAUAAAGACUCAGUAAUAACAAUGCAAACAGCAACCAAAUGUUAUCUUCCAGAGGACAAUGGCAUCAUGACAUUAAUAAUAUACUAACAGGCUGGGAACAUAGGUCAGCUUUUCUUUGUGUGGAGUGAUUUUCUGUUGGCUUUUAAUGAUGUGAGAUAAGCUCAUAAUUUUGUUUCUCAAUGGCAGAUUUUGCUCCCAAAUUAGUUAUGUAACUUGAUGCUCUAUUCAGGUACCAGUAUUUUUCAACUAAUACUUUACGCAAAAGGAAAGUGAAAUGAACUGUACACUUCCAAGUUCGUUAUAUUUUCCCAUUUGGGGAUAUACUUCUAUUUCUCAGAACAUAUCUCAGUUGUUAAACAGCACAUGCCUAAUCACAUUAAUUAAGGUAUGUAUUUUAUUAUAUAUUUAUAAUUGUGGAUUUCACUUCAUUUACAGUAGCUAUGUGUUAGUACUGAAUUUAUUUCCAAAUGGUUUCUAAUCAGUCAAAUGACUCCCUUAAAAAUUCCAACUCAUAACACAAAUAUUGUAACAUUCUAAAUUUCCUAGACUCAGAGUAUUUAGAUAAAGAAUCAUCUUUGACCAAGUCUGUUGGAGGCCAUAUAUAUAAUAUAUAAUUAAAUAUAAAUAUAUAUUUGUUCUAAUCAUUAAGGCAGAGAGGACACUCUUUCAGGAACUCCUGGGUGGAAUACCCCCACCCCCACCCCCACCAUAAGAAUGCCUGGAUCAUGCUGUCCUAACUCACAGCCUUAGGAUCAAAGAGCCUCCUGGAGAUGGGCCUCGCCUGCCAAAGGCCAAAUAACCUGUUUAUUGUGGCAUCCCUGCCACCCUGAGAAGCAAGCACCAAGAAAAGACUCCUCCCACAUGGAAACCUUAUACAUACUGAUCCCCUUUGAUCUGUACCACUAUAAAUAAAGCAGGCAUAGGCUUCUUCUUUGUUAGAAGCUAGACCCCUCUAGUAGGCUCAACUGGCCAUGCCCCUACUUUAAAUAUAUUCUUGUCUGUUUUUCUUUAAUUUCUUGAUAUAUUAGUUUAAAAUCUUAUUUCACAGCCAGCACAUCACUACUAGGGGUACCCACCCUCUCGCCCACACAGGACAUGAGCGAGACAAGUCUACACAAUUUGCAAAUAGAAGGAAGCCUAAUAGAGGCUUCCUUCAACCAUCUGGGUUUAAGAUAUCAAAAGAAAAUUGUAGAGGGCUGGGAUUGUGGCUCAGGGGUAGAGCGCUCACCUAGCAUGAUUAAGGCCCUGGGUUUGAUCCUCAGCACAACAUAAAAUAAAUAAAUAAAAUAAAGGUAAUGUGUCCUACUACAACUAAAAAACUUGAAGGAGGAGGAGGAGGAGGAGAAGGAAGGAAGGAAGGAAGGAAGGAAGGAAGGAAGGAAGGAGGAAGGAACUGUAGAAGUUGUAAAGGAAGAACACCAUUGCUGGCUCGUACAAAAUUUUCCUACAGUCCCAUAUUAAUCUUUGUGGAGUUCCACUAGGGAAUAUUAAGGGCCAAAUUGAAAAAAGCAGAAUCUGCAACCAAACCCAAAGGGUGGGAUAUAAGCUAAAGGAGAUAUAAAGUCUAGAAAGGAUUAGCUACUGAGCACCAGGAAUGUGAUAAUGAGCAAAGUUCAUUUGAAUCCAGCAAGUUCAUGUGCUACAAGCAGAGUGGAAGGCACCUUGGCUUUUCAUUUUCCUUUAAUGUAGACUCUUACUGUAUUGCAUGGUAUGUUUGCAUGAUAUGUUGGCCUAUUUUAAAAAUUAGACACCAAAGAAUUUGGGUAUUAUUCUGUUAAAAUUGGAGUGCACACAGAAAAGAGUGUUUGAGCAGGAGAAAUAAGAUGAAAAUUUCAGGACUCUUUAUCUGGCAAUAAGGCAUAGGCUCAACUUCAGGGCAACUUUGAACAGUUAAAGGCAAUAUUCAAGAGAGAAGCAGUGAAAGCCUGACUUGAAUAAAUUGAAUAAAUAAGUAUAGAAAUGGAAAAAUAAAUUGAUCUUGGAAGAAGAAUUGGAAUAAAUUAGCAGCUUGUUAGAAAUAAGCGAUUUCUGAUUAGUUAAUUAACUAUUUGGUAAUUCUUAAAGACACAUUCAAUAAUUAUGAAAUAUAUGUCGAACACUUUUUAACCUAACUGCUGAAUUUCCUACCUGGGGCCCAAAGUCAAUUUAAUGAUAUUGAACUCAUCAGGAGGUGAGUACGCCUCAUGCACAAGCAUCAAUCAAACACUAAAUAUGUAGAGAUUUACAGAGAAUAAUAAUCAACAAAAUGUGCAUUAUUAGCUCAGCCAAGUAUGUAUAUAGUGUUUCUUCUUUCCUCUGCUGCUAUGUAUUUGGUUUGUGAUUCUUUGUGACAUCUAUUGGAAUGCCUGGAGACAAGACCCAGCUUUCCCUUCAGAUUGUCCAACAUUCUUGAUACCUGACUCUGGUAUACAGGUUCUGGUCUUCAGAGCUGUGCAGUUUCUCAUUGAUCUCAGCAGUAGCUGUUCAAACUUAACACAUCACACCUUUGCUGAUUUCUGAUGUGAGCAAAUGGAUCUUAAUUCCUUUUUCUCACCAUUGCUGCCUUCCCCCUACCCUACCACUCUCCAUGACUUUCUAAAGCAUAGACUCACUUCCAUUACCAUAUUUUUUAGAGAGAGA